Lycium barbarum (goji berry) is the source of this 1602-nucleotide long non-coding RNA. RefSeq lists it as uncharacterized. The transcript is spliced from 4 exons. NCBI's taxonomy places the organism in Eukaryota, Viridiplantae, Streptophyta, Magnoliopsida, Solanales, Solanaceae. The record is from RefSeq and is a predicted model, not a curated record.
CUUAUUGAAAAAAAAAACACCAAAGGAUGUGUUGCAGCGGAUAAGCUGCUCUUCUCUUUAUCAGAGGUUUCGGGUUCUAGUCCUGAAUAUGAAAAAGUCUUUGGUAGGAAGCACAUCCCCAAAUGAGAUCCUAUGCGCGUGAAUCCAGAUAUAAUCGAGGCUGUACUAGACAUCGGCGGGAAACAAAAAAAACUUAUUGAAAAAAGAUUUUUUUAAAAAACAAAAUUUGAAAAAAAACUAUUGAAAUGUUAUAUUCCUACUAAAGUAGUAUCAUCGUCAUCCUCAUCAAGCAAACAAACAAACACUAUCCAUGGCGAGUAUCAAAACUUUGCAUUUGCUAAAACUAGCAAGAAUUGUGACUGAUUCUUUCUUCUUCAGUGUCACUAAAAAUGGUAUUUCCUCAUUCCCACUGGCAAUUAAGCCUAAGCAUUCGACAGCUCAGCGAAGUUACUCUGUGAAAUCGAGUGCUUUAGAGCCUCCUGAUAUUCCUCGUUUGGCUGAAAAAGCUCGAAUUUCGCUAACCCUUCAAGAAGUUGAAGACUUCGCUCCCAAAAUUCGACAAGUUAUAGAUUGGUUUGGACAACUUCAAGCUGUCGAUCUGGAGAGUAUCGAACCAGCCAUAAGGGCAGGUGAAUACGUCAACUUCAACUUAAUUGAAUACUUCUCUUUGAUUUUUUUUUCUUUCAAAGUUCUACUGUAAUUUAUUUUCUUGAAGAUAAUGUCAUAUGGUUCUCGAAAUGGUUCUUGCUUCAUUCAGCAUCAAAAAUGAGAAAAUGGUAUAAGAAUGCCUGUCUUUUCAUCUCUAGCCAUAAGCACCAAAACAGAUUGAGGUGACCCGCCACCAGAUAUGCCAUGCUAAAAGAUUUCGUUGACUGAUUCUUAGUGUCAGCCAUUGGACACCCAACAAUGAAGAAAUUUAUCUCCUUGCAAAUUGUAAUCCAUUGAAAUAGAACAGCAAUUAACGCCUUCCUCAUCCUUUUGUUCUAUUCUCUCACGUUCUAGUUUACUAGUGUAAACAUGUGACAGCAUCUUUAGGAUGGAUUCCUGGAAGAAGCUAACCAUGCUAAGGUUAACAAACAAUAAAUUAAACAGUCAAAGGUUACUGUUCCUUUUGCAUCUGGAUCUUUCUUGGAUUUAAAAAUCUUUUGAAAGUUGAAACAGAUUGCAAGAAUCGGAAUAUUUUGUUGGAUUUUCUUUGAUGACUUGAGUGCUAAUAACAUCUAAGAGUGCAAGACUUUUGAACAUCAAAACAUUUGAUGCGACAUUAAAUUUUAUCCUUUUGGUAAUUCUUUCUUGAUCUGCGGAUACUGAGGGAGAUAAUUUGCGCGACGACAUACCUGAAAAGUUUGAGAAUAGGGAAGAAUUGAUUUCUGCUGUGCCAAGCUUUGAGGAGCCUUACAUCAAAGUUCCCAAAGUGUUGAAUAAGGAGUGACAUUAUUUAGGUCAUUUCGUUUCACUUCCAGGGGAAGACCAUAAUCUUAUAUAUUUUGAUCAGUAGAUGGAAGACCAGACAUCAUCCCUCCAAAAUCUUUUUCAAGAUGUAUCUUGAUGCAACAUGUAACACAACUAUACUUCUGCUGCCUGUUAGUUAUCUCUAUUCAU